Molecule: ribosomal RNA, 253 nt
Filed under: uncultured bacterium
Lineage: Bacteria
Description: partial 16S ribosomal RNA
Rfam family: Bacterial small subunit ribosomal RNA
Source: RNAcentral
UACGAAGGGUCCAAGCGUUGUCCGGAUUUAUUGGGUUUAAAGGGUGCGUAGGCGGUCUAUUAAGUCAGCGGUGAAAUACUCCAGCUUAACUGGAGGGGUGCCAUUGAUACUGAUGGACUUGAGUCAAGUCGAGGUAGGCGGAAUUGACGGUGUAGCGGUGAAAUGCUUAGAUAUCGUCAAGAACACCAAUAGUGAAGACAGCUUACUGGGCUUAAACUGACGCUGAGGCACGAAAGUGUGGGGAUCAAACAGG